This 259-nucleotide ribosomal RNA is filed under the name Heterosigma akashiwo. RNAcentral describes it as "partial Eukaryotic small subunit ribosomal RNA". It matches the Rfam family "Eukaryotic small subunit ribosomal RNA", at positions 846 to 1103 of the family's 1831-position model. Lineage: Eukaryota; Raphidophyceae; Chattonellales; Chattonellaceae. The record is from RNAcentral.
GGUUUCUAGGAUCGCCGUAAUGAUUAAUAGGGAUAGUUGGGGGCAUUUGUAUUGCGUUGCUAGAGGUGAAAUUCUUGGAUUUACGCAAGACAAACUACUGCGAAAGCAUUUGCCAAGGAUGUUUUCAUUAAUCAAGGACGAAGGUUAGGGGAUCGAAAACGAUCAGAUACCGUUGUAGUCUUAACAGUAAACUAUGCCGACUAGGGAUCGGGCAACCUCAAUUAUGAUGUGUUGCUCGGCACCUUACGAGAAAUCAAAG